This 2265-nucleotide long non-coding RNA is filed under the name Salmo trutta (river trout). RNAcentral describes it as "lncRNA (ENSSTUG00000034632.1)". The record is from RNAcentral. Lineage: Eukaryota; Metazoa; Chordata; Actinopteri; Salmoniformes; Salmonidae.
AUGUCAUCCCUGGUGGGUAUCAGAGGGUCAGUACGUCAUCCCUGGUGGGUAUCAGAGGGUCAUCCCUGGUGGGUAUCAGAGGGUCAUCCCUGGUGGGUAUCAGAGGGUCAGUAUGUCAUCCCUGGUGGGUAUCAGAGGGUCAGCAUGUCAUCCCUGGUGGGUAUCAGAGGGUCAGUACGUCAUCCCUGGUGGGUAUCAGAGGGUCAUCCCUGGUGGGUAUCAGAGGGUCGUCCCUGGUGGGUAUCAGAGGGUCGUCCCUGGUGGGUAUCAGAGGGUCAGUCUGUCAUCCCUGGUGGGUAUCAGAGGGUCAGUAUGUCAUCCCUGGUGGGUAUCAGAGGGUCAGUCUGUCAUCCCUGGUGGGUAUCAGAGGGUCAUCCCUGGUGGGUAUCAGAGGGACAACCAGUCAGGGCCUCCAGAUAUAGAGGCCUGUUAUCAUCCCUGGUGGGUAUCAGAGGGUCAGUCUGUCAUCACUGGUGGGUAUCAGAGGGUCAGUCUGUCAUCCUUGGUGGGUAUCAGAGGGUCAAUAUGUCAUCCCUGGUGGGUAUCAGAGGGUCAUCCCUGGUGGGUAUCAGAGGGUCGUCCCUGGUGUGUAUCAGAGGGUCAGUAUGUCAUCCCUGGUGGGUAUCAGAGGGUCAUCCCUGGUGGGUAUCAGAGGGUCAUCCCUGGUGGGUAUCAGAGGGUCAUCCCUGGUGGGUAUCAGAGGGUCAUCCCUGGUGGGUAUCUGAGGGUCAGUAUGUCAUCCCUGGUGGGUAUCAGAGGGCCAGUACGUCAUCCCUGGUGGGUAUCAGAGGGUCAGUAUGUCAUCCCUGGUGGGUAUCAGAGGGUCAUCCCUGGUGGGUAUCAGAGGGUCAGUAUGUCGUCCCUGGUGGGUAUCAGAGGGUCAUCCCUGGUGGGUAUCAGAGGGUCAUCCCUGGUGGGUAUCAGAGGGUCAUCCCUGGUGGGUAUCAGAGGGUCAUCCCUGGUGGGUAUCAGAGGGUCAUCCCUGGUGGGUAUCUGAGGGUCAGUAUGUCAUCCCUGGUGGGUAUCAGAGGGUCAGUAUGUCAUCCCUGGUGGGUAUCAGAGGGUCAUCCCUGGUGGGUAUCAGAGGGACAACCAGUCAGGGCCUCCAGAUAUAGAGGCCUGUUAUCAUCCCUGGUGGGUAUCAGAGGGUCAGUCUGUCAUCACUGGUGGGUAUCAGAGGGUCAGUCUGUCAUCCUUGGUGGGUAUCAGAGGGUCAGUAUGUCAUCCUUGGUGGGUAUCAGAGGGUCAUCCCUGGUGGGUAUCAGAGGGUCGUCCCUGGUGUGUAUCAGAGGGUCGUCCCUGGUGUGUAUCAGAGGGUCAGUAUGUCAUCCCUGGUGGGUAUCAGAGGGUCAUCCCUGGUGGGUAUCAGAGGGUCAUCCCUGGUGGGUAUCAGAGGGUCAUCCCUGGUGGGUAUCAGAGGGUCAUCCCUGGUGGGUAUCAGAGGGUCAUCCCUGGUGGGUAUCUGAGGGUCAGUAUGUCAUCCCUGGUGGGUAUCAGAGGGCCAGUACGUCAUCCCUGGUGGGUAUCAGAGGGUCAGUAUGUCAUCCCUGGUGGGUAUCAGAGGGUCGUCCCUGGUGGGUAUCAGAGGGUCAUCCCUGGUGGGUAUCAGAGGGUCAGUAUGUCGUCCCUGGUGGGUAUCAGAGGGUCAUCCCUGGUGGGUAUCAGAGGGUCAUCCCUGGUGGGUAUCAGAGGGUCAUCCCUGGUGGGUAUCUGAGGGUCAGUAUGUCCUCCCUGGUGGGUAUCAGAGGGUCAGUAUGUCAUCCCUGGUGGGUAUCAGAGUGUCAGUAUGUCAUCCCUGGUGGGUAUCAGAGGGUCAUCCCUGGUGGGUAUCAGAGGGUCAUCCCUGGUGGGUAUCAGAGGGUCAUCCCUGGUGGGUAUCAGAGGGUCAGUAUGUCAUCCCUGGUGGGUAUCAGAGGGUCAUCCCUGGUGGGUAUCAGAGGGUCAUCCCUGGUGGGUAUCAGAGGGUCCUCCCUGGUGGGUAUCAGAGGGUCAGUAUGUCAUCCCUGGUGGGUAUCAGAGGGUCAUCCCUGGUGGGUAUCAGAGGGUCAGUAUGUCAUCCCUGGUGGGUAUCUGAGGGUCAUCCCUGGUGGGUAUCAGAGGGACAACCAGUCACGGCCUCCAGAUAUAGAGGCCUGUUAUCAAAGCAGAGAGAUCACUGAAGACAGUCACUCCCUUUUCACUUCAUUUCAGACAUUUUCAAAGGCACAAUUUCUGCAAAGAGUUUGUUGUUAUUGUGUGUGUGUGUGUGUGUGUGUGUGUGUGUGA